This 497-nucleotide ribosomal RNA is filed under the name uncultured bacterium. Its description in RNAcentral is "partial 16S ribosomal RNA". It matches the Rfam family "Bacterial small subunit ribosomal RNA", at positions 28 to 507 of the family's 1533-position model. The record is from RNAcentral.
GAUGAACGCUGGCGGCGUGCCUAAUACAUGCAAGUCGAGCGAACAGACGAGGAGCUUGCUCCUCUGACGUUAGCGGCGGACGGGUGAGUAACACGUGGAUAACCUACCUAUAAGACUGGGAUAACUUCGGGAAACCGGAGCUAAUACCGGAUAAUAUAUUGAACCGCAUGGUUCAAUAGUGAAAGACGGUUUUGCUGUCACUAUGAGAUGAUUCCGCGCCGCAUUAGCUAGUUGGUAAGGUAACGGCUUACCAAGGCAACGAUGCGUAGCCGACCUGAGAGGGUGAUCGGCCACACUGGAACUGAGACACGGUCCAGACUCCUACGGGAGGCAGCAGUAGGGAAUAUUCCGCAAUGGGCGAAAGCCUGACGGAGCAACGCCGCGUGAGUGAUGAAGGUCUUCGGAUCGUAAAGCUCUGUUAUUAGGGAAGAACAAAUGUGUAAGAAACUAUGCACGUCUUGACGGUACCUAAUCAGAAAGCCACGGCUAACUACGUG